Long non-coding RNA from Cucurbita pepo subsp. pepo (vegetable marrow), 1452 nucleotides. RefSeq lists it as uncharacterized. Lineage: Eukaryota; Viridiplantae; Streptophyta; Magnoliopsida; Cucurbitales; Cucurbitaceae. The record is from RefSeq and is a predicted model, not a curated record.
AACGGAGGAACAGAGAGGUUUGCGCGCGAAAGUUUGGCGUUCUUGGAGUUGCUCUGACGAGGAGAAGGUUGAUAUUAGGGUUCGGAAUUAUCGGUGCCUCACUAUGUUGUUUGCAAACGCAGACUUUGAAUGAGUUGCUGCAGUACAUGUUUGAAGAAGGUCUUGUGUCAGCGUUGCUACCUGAACAGUAUUUUUAGGUGGACUCAUAAGUGACUUUGACUUUACGCUAAUUGGUGUCAACUAAUACAUUUGUACGCAAAAAGCAUGGAAUCGAGGCAAUGCUGUGCCACUGGUUUGUUUCUACCUAUACCUCUUCUCUCUAUAUCCAUUCAAUUCACGUCCUUCCAUUCCUUGCUGAUCUCUGCUCAAUUUUACUCUGCAUAAAAUCAAAACCCAAGGUUAUACAAUGGAAAUGGAACCUAACAAAUGAGGUAACAAUCAAUUAGAUACAUGCCCUUUUUAACUUUUAUAAGUUUAGUUUUUGAACAAUUUAGUCAUUUAAAUUUCAAAAGUUUUUUAUUUUAAUUGUGAUAUGUUUAAGCAUGGUCUAAAAUCGAUAUAUUAAUUAUUUUUAUCUAUUAGAUAUUUUUAAAGUUUAGAGAUCUUAAGCACAAUUGAAAUUUAAAGACUAAUUAGUUACUUUUUAAAAUUUAAGAAGACUUUAGCAUUUUGGAAAGCUUGUAAUUUAAAUUUCAAAUGUCAUUUCCAAAAUCAAAAUAAUUAAAGUUCGCUUUCCACCUUAAACUGUAAAAUUAUACUUUUAUUAUCAAAAUUCUAUGAAUCUCUUAUAUCUCCUAUGUAUAUUAAAAAAAAACAAUAAUUUUAUUUAUUUAUUAUCAUUUUUAAAUAAAAAAACUAUUAUCAAACAUUAGGGGUGUACAUGGGUCGGGUUGGAAUGGGUUAAGAAUUUUAUGGACUAACCCAUAAGAUCAGACUGGUUGGAUUGGUAAUCUAACCAAAUCCAAAAAAUUUCAGAAGGUUGCCCAAAAUUUUUCAGAACCAACUUUCUAUUUUUUAUAAAAAAAAUUAUUUAUCCGCAUAAUUUUCAAACAAAUUUUUAAACUACAAUUAUAACCAUGUACUGUACAUUUAUUGUUAAGUAAAUUGCAACAGAAAUAAUAAUAAACUACAAAUAUAACAAUGUACUGAACAUUUAUUGUUAAGUAAAUUGCAACAGAAAUAUUAAAUAAAUUAGAAUUUUGAAUUAACUCUCUUGGUUUUGGAAAUUUCAAAUAUUUUGCACAAUUUUUUAUAGAACUUAUAUUUAAAAUCAUUUACUUUUCACCUCGCCCAAUAAAACAUGAAAGUAAAAAGAAAUUAAAUAUUAAGUCACUCAAACACAAUAUAAUAUUGUUUCAUAAUCAUUUACUUUUCACCUCGCCCAAUAAAUUGAGUAUUUUUUAUUUUAGAAAAUUAAUCUCCCAACCUAAUUCAAUUCAAUCCAACCCAGGG